Poecilia reticulata (guppy) is the source of this 307-nucleotide non-coding RNA. The record is from RefSeq and is a predicted model, not a curated record. NCBI's taxonomy places the organism in Eukaryota, Metazoa, Chordata, Actinopteri, Cyprinodontiformes, Poeciliidae.
UUAGCCAACGUAAGCAGCAUGGGGAUCUAAAUUACCCAGCGUGAUUCAGACGUCAGCUCACACUGACACACAGUGGAAGGCAUGGAAAUCUAAAUCUCCUGGUCGUUGUGUGGCAUCAAGCAUCAACAUCGACUCCGAGGCAGAAGAAGAGCAAGAAAAAUCGCAAGAUGAGUCCAAUGCUGGAAGGAACCUGUAGUGUCUCCUCCCAGUCAUCUGAAGGGAGCUGUGGGCGUGUUGUAGCUCUGGAAGAGAGGCUGCAUGAAGAGUCCCAGAGUUCCCACCACACACACCAGGAUGAAGAUCCAGA